UGCAGUCGAGGGGCAGCAUAAUGGAUAGCAAUAUCUAUGGUGGCGACCGGCGCACGGGUGCGUAACGCGUAUGCAACCUACCUUUAACAGGGGGAUAACACUGAGAAAUUGGUACUAAUACCCCAUAAUAUCAUAGAAGGCAUCUUUUAUGGUUGAAAAUUCCGAUGGUUAGAGAUGGGCAUGCGUUGUAUUAGCUAGUUGGUGGGGUAACGGCUCACCAAGGCGACGAUACAUAGGGGGACUGAGAGGUUAACCCCCCACACUGGUACUGAGACACGGACCAGACUCCUACGGGAGGCAGCAGUGAGGAAUAUUGGUCAAUGGACGCAAGUCUGAACCAGCCAUGCCGCGUGCAGGAUGACGGCUCUAUGAGUUGUAAACUGCUUUUGUACGAGGGUAAACGCAGAUACGUGUAUCUGUCUGAAAGUACCGUACGAAUAAGGAUCGGCUAACUCCGUGCCAGCAGCCGCGGUAAUACGGAGGAUUCAAGCGUUAUCCGGAUUUAUUGGGUUUAAAGGGUGCGUAGGCGGUUUGAUAAGUUAGAGGUGAAAUUUCGGGGCUCAACCCUGAACGUGCCUCUAAUACUGUUGAGCUAGAGAGUAGUUGCGGUAGGCGGAAUGUAUGGUGUAGCGGUGAAAUGCUUAGAGAUCAUACAGAACACCGAUUGCGAAGGCAGCUUAC
This 681-nucleotide ribosomal RNA is filed under the name uncultured bacterium. RNAcentral describes it as "bacterial SSU rRNA". It matches the Rfam family "Bacterial small subunit ribosomal RNA", at positions 56 to 729 of the family's 1533-position model. The record is from RNAcentral.